Molecule: long non-coding RNA, 3693 nt
Organism: Argiope bruennichi
Lineage: Eukaryota; Metazoa; Arthropoda; Arachnida; Araneae; Araneidae
Exons: 5
Source: RefSeq, a predicted model, not a curated record
GCAACACCACUUUAAAAAACUUGAAAGCAGGUUGAAUAGAGCUGACGAUGAAAAUCUUGCUUGAUCGGUUGCCUGCGAACGUAAACGGAAAACUGUCCUCGACAGGCUUUAAUAGGAGCCAACUAUACCAAAUGAACUCUACUAAUUAUUGGAAAAGAUGGCAUUCUUAAUAAGUGUCUCUUUGUGAAAGGAAGAAUGUAUGUUCAGCAUUUAAAGAACAUUCUUUUAGAAGAAUUUGUGAGACUGAAAUCAGAGAUCUCUGCAUGAUCCAAGACUGAAAAAUCUUCCUAAGACCUAAUGAUAUUAAAAUUGCACAUUCUCUGCAUGCUUUGAGGCUGAAAAAUACAAAAAUGAUUGUGCUUUUGAUUAUGACUCAGGGAAUUUUUAGUAUAUUCUUAAUAUUGGAACAGAGGUAAGUAAUAAAAGAAAUUUUGCCUGAAAGGUUAGAUGGUAUCUUGCAUUAAAUGUGCCAUUUCUCUAUAUUUUGUUAAACGAAAAGAGUGUAUACACAUUCCUGCUGUAUUAAAUUUAAAUAUCUUUCUUCAUUCUGUCAUAUUUCAUAGGCUACACAUAAAUUAUUUCUUUUAUACUCACUUUGAAUGAAAUUAGUGAAUUAUAUUUUAAAAUAUAUCAAAAUAAUUAUAUUCAGAAAUUACUAAUAUCUUUUGUUUCUUAUUUGGCACAUAAUUAAUUUUUUGUAGUUUGAUAGUAAUAGUUUCUAUUAAAUAUAUUUUUAUGAAAUUCAAAUUAAAAUAUAGCACAUUUAAUGGAUUCCCUUUAUGAUAAUAAAGUUCUGGUAUUCAUUUUAUGAUGAGAGAUUGUGUGCAAAUUAAACUUCUUUUUGUUGAUAUUCUUUCAAAGUAAAUAAAUACCUUGUUGUAAUCACCAUUAUAGAGAUGCAAAUGAGGAUUAAAAGCCUACAUAGAAUCUUUCAAUGUAGCUUUCAUUAAUUAUAUUCUUCUUCCAUGUUCUUUUAAAGCCUAAAUAUGGCUUAUAACUAGUAGGCAAUAAAUUUUGGAAUGCUGUGUAUGGUAUUUUAUAAUUUUGUGUGUAUUUGCAUUAAGCAUUCAAGAUCAAAAAAUUAAGAAAGGAAAAGUCAGAUUUGAAUUUGUUGAAAUCAGUGCAUUUUUGUUAAUUAUCUGUCAUAUGCAUUUAUUAAAGGAUUGUUAGAAUUGAAAUUAUUUCUCUUUCUCUCUCUCUAAUAUAUAUAUAUAAUAUUCCUUAUACGAUAAAUAUUUUUACAUUAAUCAAUUCUUCAAGAGUGUGAUUUAAUAUUUCUAAACAGCAUGCUUGGAACACUAAGCAACUAAUCUAAAUAUUUAAUAAUGUAGAAUUUUUGUGAUUCUUGUUCAUAGUAUUGAUUUCAAGUAACUAUCUUAUUGAAUCCAGGUUGAUUUUAAAAAUACUGUAUUUUAAAUGUUUCAUAUUUAUCUCAUAUUCAGACUUUGCAGAUAUUAUUGUCAUUUUUAAGUUGAAGAGAAAUGUCAUUUAUUAAACCCUAAUUAUCUUUCAUAAAAAGUAGCUAAGCAUUGAGAAAAUUGGUUUCAUAAUUUAUUGCUCUGUUUGUUUCAGUAUUAUUUUUCUUUAGUAAGAAACUCCUGCAUGCUUGAAUAUUUGUAAAUAAGGUUUGGCUUCUUAAUAAUUUGCAGAAUUCCUUGUUUUCAGUAUUCAUAUUAUUUACUUUUUCAGUCAUUCGAAUUUGGUGGGCUAAACAUGUAAUGUUUGAUUGCAAGUAUGUAUGAAGAAUCGUUUACAUCGUUUCAUUUUUCCCUUCUUAAAAUAUGAAAUUUUGUAGGCAUGCCUCUGAUUAUUAAUGUGCGAUUAUUUUGAUGAAUUAUAAAUCAGACAGAAUAAAAAAAAAUAUAUAGAAGUAUUUUAUUUUUUUUAAUUUCAAAAUAUUUAUGCAUGUUAAGACAUUGUUAUUACAAGAAUAAUUACUUAUUUAGAAAUGAAGAUACUUUAUAAAAUUGUUCAUCUCCCAUUGCUGAUCCAAGAUGGGAAAAAAAUAUGAGACAGUAUUAACUGUAGAGCAGCUUUAUAUUUUUGAUCUAAUGGCAUUGCGGAAAAAUGAUCGAAAAUUAAAGUGUUUUAGAAAGUGCAUAGAUAAAUUGCAGUUCCAGUGUGAUUGGUAUUAUAGUUCACUAAUCUACUAUUUUCUUUUUUUAGCCGUACAAAGCUUAAGAAGAAAAUAAUGUAUUGAUGAUUAGUUUCCUUCAAAAAACAUGUUGAGCUUAAAAAAAUCAUCUUCAUUGCCUUUUUUAUAUAUAGUAUCAUUGCACUACUCAUUCUUUGGUGGAGUAAAAAUUAGUUUUCAUUGAAAAAAAUUUUCUGACAUGGAGAAUUUGUAUUUUUAAAAGUCUACAUGAUAAAUUUGAUAGCACUUUUGAUAAAUACAUAGAAAAUUCAUUUGACAUGAAUGGUGAAUAAUUUAAUAUUUUUUACAUAUAGGCUUAAUAUGUUUACAGCUUUUAAAAUUAGAAAAGCAUAAUAUCAUUGUUAACAUGUAAAACAUUUCUCAAACAUGAAUCGGAAAGAAACUUUUCAUGUAUAUAUUGCUUAUGUUUUUUAAUUUAACUCUUUGCACUCCUAUAUCAAGUGUAACUUGCCAUAUUCUGAAAAAUACACCAUUUUCAUUUCUUGUUAGGUAAUGAUUAAUAUAGAUGUCUUUUAAUAGCAAAAACAAACACAUUACUUUUUUGGAAUCAUAACAAACCUAUAUUUUUCAAUGUUCAAUGCACUAAAAGGAAUUUUUACACUCAUUUGCAUAAUUAUGCACCUCAUUAAGUUUUUGUGUGCAAAGGGUUGAUUCUGACAACAUUCAGUGUAGACUGAUACUAGUGAAGACUGAUAUUAAUGUUUUUUUCUAUAUUUUUAUUUUUAAGUGUUAAUCAGGUGCUAUUUGUGGUGCAUUCUUAAUCAUUGUGAUCAGAUUUAAAUUGUGGGUUCCAUUAUUUGAUGAAUGUUAGUUAACUUGCAUUGAAGUUACUUAAAUAUUUAAUUUGUUUUCAUUAUCAGAGUAAGUGCAUGUCAUUUUUUUAAGGCAUCAGAAUUGAGACCAAAUAAAGAGAGAUGUUGCACAUUGGGAUAAUUUAUUUAUUUUUUAACUUUGCUAUGCAUUAAAAUUUUGCCUUCCAAAUUAAAUUAAACUUAAUCAUUUUAAAAAUGAAUUGUAUUAUUCAGGAGCAUAAUAUAGUUUUUUUUUUUUUAAUUUGUAUCUUUGGAAGUGUAACCUAGCACAAUACUAUGUUCUUUACUGCUAAGGACGGAUAUUAAACUAAACACUUUAAAAAGAUAAAUCAGGAGAAAAUAUAUAUUUAACAACUUCAUUAAUAACUAAAUAUCACAAUAAUUAUUAUCUGCAGUUUUUUUCACUUUUGGCAAUCUGAAGAAUUUAUUACCUUCUUUUCUAAAUAAUAUUAUUUAGGAAAUAUAUAAUGUGUCUGCAUGUAAUAAAGUGGAUCAACUUAUGUGUUUUAUAACAGAAUUCUACAUUUCCUGUGAACACUGUUUUUUCUAUGGAUAUCUUGAGGAAUAACAUGUUAUUUGUUCCAAAGUACUGCAGUGAGCCUUCCAAUAAAAUGUAGUAUUGAAAUACUUUUGAGUGUCCACUGCAUUUCACUUUUAUUAAAGUCAUGUUUCAAAGAUAAAAUUCGCAUUUUACAUUGACCAUCAACAUUGCAUUAAAGAUAUAAC